UCGCGGCCUAUCACCGGCAGUCUCCUUAGAGUGCUCAACUAAAUGGUAGCAACUAAGGACGGGGGUUGCGCUCGUUGCGGGACUUAACCCAACAUCUCACGACACGAGCUGACGACAGCCAUGCACCACCUGUGCACCGGCCCCGAAGGGCUGCCGUAUUUCUACGGCAUUCCAGUGCAUGUCAAGCCUUGGUAAGGUUCUUCGCGUUGCAUCGAAUUAAUCCACAUAAUCCACCGCUUGUGCGGGUCCCCGUCAAUUCCUUUGAGUUUUAACCUUGCGGCCGUACUCCCCAGGCGGUCAACUUCACGCGUUAGCUUCGUUACCAAGGAGUUGCUUCCCCGACAACCAGUUGACAUAGUUUAGGGCGUGGACUAC
RNAcentral lists this unclassified non-coding RNA (375 nucleotides) under uncultured Gammaproteobacteria bacterium. RNAcentral's name for it is "contains 16S-23S intergenic spacer region". The record is from RNAcentral. Lineage: Bacteria; Pseudomonadati; Pseudomonadota; Gammaproteobacteria.